UACGGCGGGGGCUAGCGUUGUUCGGAAUUACUGGGCGUAAAGCGCACGUAGGCGGAUAUUUAAGUCAGGGGUGAAAUCCCGGGGCUCAACCCCGGAACUGCCUUUGAUACUGGGUAUCUGGAGGUCGAGAGAGGCGAGUGGAAUUCCGAGUGUAGAGGUGAAAUUCGUAGAUAUUCGGAGGAACACCAGUGGCGAAGGCGGCUCGCUGGCUCGAUACUGACGCUGAGGUGCGAAAGCGUGGGGAGCAAACAGG
This 253-nucleotide ribosomal RNA is filed under the name uncultured bacterium. RNAcentral describes it as "partial 16S ribosomal RNA". It matches the Rfam family "Bacterial small subunit ribosomal RNA", at positions 524 to 776 of the family's 1533-position model. The record is from RNAcentral.